RNAcentral lists this non-coding RNA (24 nucleotides) under Arabidopsis thaliana (thale cress). The record is from RNAcentral. Lineage: Eukaryota; Viridiplantae; Streptophyta; Magnoliopsida; Brassicales; Brassicaceae.
UGGAACAUAUUUCCAAGUUAGCGA